CCCUACGGGAGGCAGCAGUAGGGAAUCUUCCACAAUGGGCGAAAGCCUGAUGGAGCAACGCCGCGUGGGUGAAGAAGGUCUUCGGAUCGUAAAACCCUGUUGUUAGAGAAGAAAGUGCGUGAGAGUAACUGUUCACGUUUCGACGGUAUCUAACCAGAAAGCCACGGCUAACUACGUGCCAGCAGCCGCGGUAAUACGUAGGUGGCAAGCGUUAUCCGGAUUUAUUGGGCGUAAAGAGAACGCAGGCGGACUUUUAAGUCUGAUGUGAAAGCCUUCGGCUUAACCGGAGUAGUGCUUUGGAAAUU
Molecule: ribosomal RNA, 305 nt
Filed under: uncultured bacterium
Lineage: Bacteria
Description: bacterial SSU rRNA
Rfam family: Bacterial small subunit ribosomal RNA
Source: RNAcentral